AGCGUACACGGUGGAUGCCCUGGCAGUCAGAGGCGAUGAAGGACGUGCUAAUCUGCGAUAAGCGCCGGUAAGGUGAUAUGAACCGUUAUAACCGGCGAUUUCCGAAUGGGGAAACCCAGUGUGAUUCGUCACACUAUCAUUAACUGAAUCCAUAGGUUAAUGAGGCGAACCGGGGGAACUGAAACAUCUAAGUACCCCGAGGAAAAGAAAUCAACCGAGAUUCCCCCAGUAGCGGCGAGCGAACGGGGAGGAGCCCAGAGCCUGAAUCAGCAUGUGUGUUAGUGGAAGCGUCUGGAAAGGUGCGCGAUACAGGGUGACAGCCCCGUACACAAAAGCGCAUGUGCUGUGAGCUCGAUGAGUAGGGCGGGACACGUGGUAUCCUGUCUGAAUAUGGGGGGACCAUCCUCCAAGGCUAAAUACUCCUGACUGACCGAUAGUGAACCAGUACCGUGAGGGAAAGGCGAAAAGAACCCCGGCGAGGGGAGUGAAAAAGAACCUGAAACCGUGUACGUACAAGCAGUGGGAGCACAGGUUUACCUGUGUGACUGCGUACCUUUUGUAUAAUGGGUCAGCGACUUAUAUUCUGUAGCAAGGUUAACCGUAUAGGGGAGCCGUAGGGAAACCGAGUCUUAACCGGGCGUUAAGUUGCAGGGUAUAGACCCGAAACCCGGUGAUCUAGCCAUGGGCAGGUUGAAGGUUGGGUAACACUAACUGGAGGACCGAACCGACUAAUGUUGAAAAAUUAGCGGAUGACCUGUGGCUGGGGGUGAAAGGCCAAUCAAACCGGGAGAUAGCUGGUUCUCCCCGAAAGCUAUUUAGGUAGCGCCUCGUGAAUUCAUCUCCGGGGGUAGAGCACUGUUUCGGCUAGGGGGCCAUCCCGGCUUACCAACCCGAUGCAAACUGCGAAUACCGGAGAAUGUUAUCACGGGAGACACACGGCGGGUGCUAACGUCCGUCGUGAAGAGGGAAACAACCCAGACCGCCAGCUAAGGUCCCAAAGUCAUGGUUAAGUGGGAAACGAUGUGGGAAGGCCCAGACAGCCAGGAUGUUGGCUUAGAAGCAGCCAUCAUUUAAAGAAAGCGUAAUAGCUCACUGGUCGAGUCGGCCUGCGCGGAAGAUGUAACGGGGCUAAACCAUGCACCGAAGCUGCGGCAGCGAACGUAUCACCCAAGACAACUUUACGGAGUUGACGAUUGACGGAGCGAAGCGACGUCAAAGCGUUCAUUAAAGUCGAGUUGGCUUAGGGAUACGUUCGUUGGGUAGGGGAGCGUUCUGUAAGCCUGUGAAGGUGUGUCGUGAGGCAUGCUGGAGGUAUCAGAAGUGCGAAUGCUGACAUAAGUAACGAUAAAGCGGGUGAAAAGCCCGCUCGCCGGAAGACCAAGGGUUCCUGUCCAACGUUAAUCGGGGCAGGGUGAGUCGACCCCUAAGGCGAGGCCGAAAGGCGUAGUCGAUGGGAAACGGGUUAAUAUUCCCGUACUUGGUGUUACUGCGAAGGGGGGACGGAGAAGGCUAUGUUGGCCGGGCGACGGUUGUCCCGGUUUAAGCGUGUAGGUGUGUGUUCCAGGUAAAUCCGGUUCACUUUAACACUGAGGCGUGACGACGAGGCACUACGGUGCUGAAGCAACAAAUGCCCUGCUUCCAGGAAAAGCCUCUAAGCAUCAGGUAACAUCAAAUCGUACCCCAAACCGACACAGGUGGUCAGGUAGAGAAUACCAAGGCGCUUGAGAGAACUCGGGUGAAGGAACUAGGCAAAAUGGUGCCGUAACUUCGGGAGAAGGCACGCUGACACGUAGGUGAAGUGAUUUACUCAUGGAGCUGAAGUCAGUCGAAGAUACCAGCUGGCUGCAACUGUUUAUUAAAAACACAGCACUGUGCAAACACGAAAGUGGACGUAUACGGUGUGACGCCUGCCCGGUGCCGGAAGGUUAAUUGAUGGGGUCAGCGUAAGCGAAGCUCCUGAUCGAAGCCCCGGUAAACGGCGGCCGUAACUAUAACGGUCCUAAGGUAGCGAAAUUCCUUGUCGGGUAAGUUCCGACCUGCACGAAUGGCGUAAUGAUGGCCAGGCUGUCUCCACCCGAGACUCAGUGAAAUUGAACUCGCUGUGAAGAUGCAGUGUACCCGCGGCAAGACGGAAAGACCCCGUGAACCUUUACUAUAGCUUGACACUGAACAUUGAGCCUUGAUGUGUAGGAUAGGUGGGAGGCUUUGAAGUGUGGACGCCAGUCUGCAUGGAGCCGACCUUGAAAUACCACCCUUUAAUGUUUGAUGUUCUAACGUGGACCCGUAAUCCGGGUUGCGGACAGUGUCUGGUGGGUAGUUUGACUGGGGCGGUCUCCUCCUAAAGAGUAACGGAGGAGCACGAAGGUUGGCUAAUCCUGGUCGGACAUCAGGAGGUUAGUGCAAUGGCAUAAGCCAGCUUGACUGCGAGCGUGACGGCGCGAGCAGGUGCGAAAGCAGGUCAUAGUGAUCCGGUGGUUCUGAAUGGAAGGGCCAUCGCUCAACGGAUAAAAGGUACUCCGGGGAUAACAGGCUGAUACCGCCCAAGAGUUCAUAUCGACGGCGGUGUUUGGCACCUCGAUGUCGGCUCAUCACAUCCUGGGGCUGAAGUAGGUCCCAAGGGUAUGGCUGUUCGCCAUUUAAAGUGGUACGCGAGCUGGGUUUAGAACGUCGUGAGACAGUUCGGUCCCUAUCUGCCGUGGGCGCUGGAGAACUGAGGGGGGAACGAAAGAUUUUACGCUGAGGCAAGGCGGCAAAUGAAGGAAAGGAAGGAGCAUACAGAAGUAUGUGACUGACUUUGC
This 2798-nucleotide ribosomal RNA is filed under the name Salmonella enterica subsp. enterica serovar Typhimurium. RNAcentral describes it as "bacterial LSU rRNA". It matches the Rfam family "Bacterial large subunit ribosomal RNA". The record is from RNAcentral. Lineage: Bacteria; Pseudomonadati; Pseudomonadota; Gammaproteobacteria; Enterobacterales; Enterobacteriaceae.